AUGGAGAGUGUAAGCACCAAGAAGGGAGUGGCAGACACCUCAAGACCACCACGAGUGCAUGAGCAGCUGGGCUGCUCCCAGCUUCCACCCCAGAAUGCCUCUCAUACUCAGUGCCUACACAAUGCUUGCUCGCUCUCUGCCUGGGUUGAGUCAGUGGUUGGAUGGCCCAAAACCCAGCGUCCUGCCGACAUCAGGUACAGCAUGGAGACCUCUUUGAAGAUGGCUCCUGUACUUGAGGCUACCUUCAUGUCAAAACACAUUCAGGCACCAUCAGAUGAUUUCCCUUCUAGGAUGACAGAGCUAUGCAUGGAUUCACUUUGUCCUGUUAGCCUCUUUAAGAACCAGGAAUGUCUGUCUUGACAGAAGCAGAAACGGGGGAGUUUUCAACCCAUCAGUUCAAUCAGUCCUUAAGCAUUUAUCAAGCCCUACUAUGUGCCAGGCACUGCACAGGUCUGCAGUUUAACUGCAAGAUCAACAUGAGUCAGCAGUGUGAUACGGGAGACAAAAAACCCCAAUGCCGUCAUGGGCCACCUGGCAUCACCACGGAGACCAGGAUGCCAGAGAUGGCUGCCCAUGGUGUCCUUCUUGGCCCCUGCCAGGCCCUUGCCUUAGGACUGCUGGAGGGCAAGACAUUGAUUGACAGGCUUACCCUGUCCCAACGUUUUGAUUUGUGGGAAGGAAAAAGAAAAUGAUAAGGAAGCUACAGAAAGGAAGAUAAAGGGAACACCAUAAAUGGAGAAGGUCCACAGCCAUCACCCUCACCAGAUGCUGGAACACAGGUGGUGUGCUGAUGAGAUCCACUUUAGCUGCCGACAAAGAUGGUGAAUCCUCAAUCCCCUCUCCCCUUCCCCUGACUCUUUUGAAAAGGUGUGAGCCUGUUUCCUUGGGGAUGAGGGGCAGAGGUGGAGGCUUGGUUUUCUGUCCUGAAAGCCUGUUUAUCCAUUUUACGUUUAAAGGUUUGCUUUGCAUCUUGUGUUAGCAAUUGUGAUUAAAAGAAUGUAACUGGUGACCCAAAGCCCAUUGGUAUAGGACUCUCUCCUCAUAGUGGAGGUCAAUGCCCUGGGCUUGAGUGAGGGUGAAACAAAGUCAACAAGGUUAGGAGAGAGGAACAGAAAGGGCUCUCUUGGAGCUGUGAAGUCUUGCCAACUCCAACCUGCCCACAGCAGCCCUAGGGCAUUGAUCUCCAGUAAUGGGGAGAGAGUCCCAUAGCAAAGGACUGUGGGACUGGGUUACCAGUGCUUGUAUUGCUAAACUGUGUGCAUUAUUAUUUGAGUGCAACAUAGAGAGAGGUGAUUAUGCAAUGAGAGAGAGAGAGAGAGAGAGAGAGAGAGAGAGAGAGAGAGAGAGAGAGAGAGAGAGA
Molecule: long non-coding RNA, 1360 nt
Filed under: Phascolarctos cinereus (koala)
Lineage: Eukaryota; Metazoa; Chordata; Mammalia; Diprotodontia; Phascolarctidae
Description: lncRNA (ENSPCIG00000034165.1)
Source: RNAcentral